This is a long non-coding RNA of Xenopus tropicalis (tropical clawed frog), 332 nucleotides long. RefSeq lists it as uncharacterized. NCBI's taxonomy places the organism in Eukaryota, Metazoa, Chordata, Amphibia, Anura, Pipidae. The transcript is spliced from 3 exons. The record is from RefSeq and is a predicted model, not a curated record.
UUGUGCGGGAAAAACAUGGCGCCCCAUGUGCGCUUUCCGUACAGAAGGUUCAUUGUGUGGGAAACAGCUCAGAGUGUGGCCUAGUAGUGUGGCCCAAGCCUUGUGUGAGUAAUCUGCCUCAGUGCCUGCACAUAUGGCGCUGCUUGGCCUGUAUUGUUCCCUCACACAGCGAUAAACAACCCUGAGAGGCGCAAUAUCUGCAGUAAAACUAUUGACUGACUGACUGAACCUAUUGGUCCCCUGUAACCGCCAUGGGAAGAUCCUCAUUAUAUCCAGGGCCGGCCGAGACAUCCUACAGGGCAACAGUGCCACCAACUGGCCAUUGGGAGAAU